RNAcentral lists this transfer RNA (67 nucleotides) under Fuscocephaloziopsis loitlesbergeri. RNAcentral's name for it is "partial tRNA-Leu". It matches the Rfam family "tRNA", at positions 18 to 71 of the family's 71-position model. From Rfam's summary of the family: Transfer RNA (tRNA) molecules are approximately 80 nucleotides in length. Their secondary structure includes four short double-helical elements and three loops (D, anti-codon, and T loops). Lineage: Eukaryota; Viridiplantae; Streptophyta; Jungermanniopsida; Jungermanniales; Cephaloziaceae. The record is from RNAcentral.
GUAGACGCUACGGACUUAAAAUCCGUUGGCUUUUUAGACCGUGAGGGUUCAAGUCCCUCUACCCCCA